Molecule: ribosomal RNA, 497 nt
Filed under: uncultured bacterium
Lineage: Bacteria
Description: partial 16S ribosomal RNA
Rfam family: Bacterial small subunit ribosomal RNA
Source: RNAcentral
GAUGAACGCUGGCGGCGUGCCUAAUACAUGCAAGUCGAGCGAACGGACGAGAAGCUUGCUUCUCUGAUGUUAGCGGCGGACGGGUGAGUAACACGUGGAUAACCUACCUAUAAGACUGGGAUAACUUCGGGAAACCGGAGCUAAUACCGGAUAAUAUUUUGAACCGAAUGGUUCAAAAGUGAAAGACGGUCUUGCUGUCACUUAUAGAUGGAUCCGCGCUGCAUUAGCUAGUUGGUAAGGUAACGGCUUACCAAGGCAACGAUGCAUAGCCGACCUGAGAGGGUGAUCGGCCACACUGGAACUGAGACACGGUCCAGACUCCUACGGGAGGCAGCAGUAGGGAAUCUUCCGCAAUGGGCGAAAGCCUGACGGAGCAACGCCGCGUGAGUGAUGAAGGUCUUCGGAUCGUAAAACUCUGUUAUUAGGGAAGAACAUAUGUGUAAGUAACUGUGCACAUCUUGACGGUACCUAAUCAGAAAGCCACGGCUAACUACGUG